Phrynosoma platyrhinos (Desert horned lizard) is the source of this 71-nucleotide non-coding RNA. NCBI's taxonomy places the organism in Eukaryota, Metazoa, Chordata, Lepidosauria, Squamata, Phrynosomatidae. The record is from the annotation of a GenBank genome assembly.
GCCAGCAUGGCAUAGUGGCUUGAGUGUUGGAUUAUGACUCUGGAGACCAGGGUUUGACUCCCUGCUUGGCA